UCUAAUGUGGCAGAUUAGUGCAACGGAUUUAAGCCCCGAAAAUAAAGGAUUACUUUCUUUAGAA
This 64-nucleotide transfer RNA is filed under the name Heterocerus parallelus. Its description in RNAcentral is "tRNA-Leu". Lineage: Eukaryota; Metazoa; Arthropoda; Insecta; Coleoptera; Heteroceridae. The record is from RNAcentral.